This 1233-nucleotide ribosomal RNA is filed under the name Bacillus subtilis. RNAcentral's name for it is "bacterial SSU rRNA". It matches the Rfam family "Bacterial small subunit ribosomal RNA", at positions 30 to 1248 of the family's 1533-position model. Lineage: Bacteria; Bacillati; Bacillota; Bacilli; Caryophanales; Bacillaceae. The record is from RNAcentral.
CUGACUUACCGCGUGCCUAUUCCUUGCAGUCGAGCGGACAGAUGGGAGCUAUGCUUCCCCUUGAUGUUAGCGGCGGACGGGUGAGUAACACGUGGGUAACCUGCCUGUAAGACUGGGAUAACUCCGGGAAACCGGGGCUAAUACCGGAUGGUUGUUUGAACCGCAUGGUUCAAACAUAAAAGGUGGCUUCGGCUACCACUUACAGAUGGACCCGCGGCGCAUUAGCUAGUUGGUGAGGUAACGGCUCACCAAGGCAACGAUGCGUAGCCGACCUGAGAGGGUGAUCGGCCACACUGGGACUGAGACACGGCCCAGACUCCUACGGGAGGCAGCAGUAGGGAAUCUUCCGCAAUGGACGAAAGUCUGACGGAGCAACGCCGCGUGAGUGAUGAAGGUUUUCGGAUCGUAAAGCUCUGUUGUUAGGGAAGAACAAGUACCGUUCGAAUAGGGCGGUACCUUGACGGUACCUAACCAGAAAGCCACGGCUAACUACGUGCCAGCAGCCGCGGUAAUACGUAGGUGGCAAGCGUUGUCCGGAAUUAUUGGGCGUAAAGGGCUCGCAGGCGGUUUCUUAAGUCUGAUGUGAAAGCCCCCGGCUCAACCGGGGAGGGUCAUUGGAAACUGGGGAACUUGAGUGCAGAAGAGGAGAGUGGAAUUCCACGUGUAGCGGUGAAAUGCGUAGAGAUGUGGAGGAACACCAGUGGCGAAGGCGACUCUCUGGUCUGUAACUGACGCUGAGGAGCGAAAGCGUGGGGAGCGAACAGGAUUAGAUACCCUGGUAGUCCACGCCGUAAACGAUGAGUGCUAAGUGUUAGGGGGUUUCCGCCCCUUAGUGCUGCAGCUAACGCAUUAAGCACUCCGCCUGGGGAGUACGGUCGCAAGACUGAAACUCAAAGGAAUUGACGGGGGCCCGCACAAGCGGUGGAGCAUGUGGUUUAAUUCGAAGCAACGCGAAGAACCUUACCAGGUCUUGACAUCCUCUGACAAUCCUAGAGAUAGGACGUCCCCUUCGGGGGCAAAGUGACAGGUGGUGCAUGGUUGUCGUCAGCUCGUGUCCUGAAAUGUUGGGUUAAGUCCCGCAACGAACGCAACCCUUGAUCUUAGUUGCCAGCAUUCAGUUGGGCACUCUAAGGUGACUGCCGGUGACAACCGGAGGAAGGGGGGGAUGACGUCAAUCAUCCUGCCCCUUAUGACCUGGGCUACCACGUGCUACAAUGGACAAAACAAAGGGCA